GAUGGAUGUAGCCAUACUAUACUCAUCGGUGGCCAGAAACUUACUUGAAGAGAAAAAAAAACAUGAGGAAAACAUGAAAAUUUUAACAUUUAAGACGGAAUAUUUUGAUUUCUAUAGCAUAAUGGCCCAUAAUUGGAAGGUUAACAGUAAACUGAAAGAAGUUCACCAACGCUUGACUUUUGGAGGUUUUUGACCUUUUGACGUAAUGACAUUGCACGUAGCCAAAGGUUUAGCCCAAAAUGAGGGAUUCUUUGGACUUCCAUGGACUUUGCUAGCUCUCUGAGAGAAGAAGAGAACAGUGAGGCGGAGAACUUUUACUGCAACGUACAA
Molecule: long non-coding RNA, 330 nt
Organism: Stylophora pistillata
Lineage: Eukaryota; Metazoa; Cnidaria; Anthozoa; Scleractinia; Pocilloporidae
Source: RefSeq, a predicted model, not a curated record